This 433-nucleotide ribosomal RNA is filed under the name uncultured bacterium. RNAcentral describes it as "partial 16S ribosomal RNA". It matches the Rfam family "Bacterial small subunit ribosomal RNA", at positions 29 to 507 of the family's 1533-position model. The record is from RNAcentral.
AACGAACGCUGGCGGCAGGCCUAACACAUGCAAGUCGAGCGGACCUUUCGGGUUCAGCGGCGGACGGGUGAGUAACGCGUGGGAAUAUGCCCUUCUCUACGGCAUAGUCCUGGGAAACUGUGGGUAAUACCGUAUACGCCCUUUGUGGGAAAGAUUUAUCGGGGAAGGAUUAGCCCGCGUUGGAUUAGGUAGUUGGUGGGGUAAUGGCCUACCAAGCCGACGAUCCAUAGCUGGUUUGAGAGGAUGAUCAGCCACACUGGGACUGAGACACGGCCCAGACUCCUACGGGAGGCAGCAGUGGGGAAUCUUAGACAAGGGGGGCAACCCUGAUCCAGCCAGGCCGCGUGAGUGAUGAAGGCGUUAGGGUUGUAAAGCUCUUUCAGCUGGGAAGAUAAUGACGGUACCAGCAGAAGAAGCCCCGGCUAACUCCGUG